Molecule: ribosomal RNA, 253 nt
Filed under: uncultured bacterium
Lineage: Bacteria
Description: partial 16S ribosomal RNA
Rfam family: Bacterial small subunit ribosomal RNA
Source: RNAcentral
UACGGAGGAGGCAAGCGUUAUCCGGAAUUAUUGGGCGUAAAGCGGGCGCAGGCGGUUUUGUAAGCCGGAUGUGAAAUCCCCGGGCUUAACCUGGGAAUGGCAUUCGGGACUGCAAGGCUGGAGUGCGGCAGAGGAGACUGGAAUUCCUGGUGUAGCAGUGAAAUGCGUAGAUAUCAGGAGGAACACCGAUGGCGAAGGCAGGUCUCUGGGCUGACACUGACGCUCAUGCACGAAAGCGUGGGGAGCAAACAGG